Molecule: ribosomal RNA, 484 nt
Filed under: uncultured bacterium
Lineage: Bacteria
Description: partial 16S ribosomal RNA
Rfam family: Bacterial small subunit ribosomal RNA
Source: RNAcentral
GGGGGGGGGGGGGGGGGGGCGGGGGAGAUGGGGGUCGAGCGGGGGGGGGGGGCUGGCGCCUGGAUUCGGCGGCGGACGGGUGGGUGCUGCCUGUGAAUCUGCCUUGUAGUGGGGGAUAACGUCGGGACACGGGCGCUACUACCUCCUACGUCCUGAGGGAGAAAGUGGGGUAUCUUCGGACCUCCCGCUAGCAGAGGAGCCUAGGUAGGAUUAACUAUUGUGUGGGGUAACGGCCUACCAAGGCGACGAUCCGGAACUGGUCUGAGAGGAUGAUCAGUCACACUGGAACUGAGACACGGUCCAGACUCCUACGGGAGGCAGCAGUGGGGAAUAUUGGACAAAGGGAGAAAGCCUGAUCCAGCCAUGCCGCGUGUGUGAAGAAGGUCUUCGGAUUGUAAAGCACUUUAAGUUGGGAGGAAGGGCAGUAAGUUAAUACCUUGCUGUUUUGACGUUACCAACAGAAUAAGCACCGGCUAACUUCGUG